GACGAACGCUGGCGGCGUGCUUAGCACAUGCAAGUCGAACGGAAAGGCCCUGCUUUUGUGGGGUGCUCGAGUGGCGAACGGGUGAGUAACACGUGAGUAACCUGCCCUUGACUUUGGGAUAACUUCAGGAAACUGGGGCUAAUAUCGGAUAGGAGCUCCUGCUGCAUGGUGGGGGUUGGAAAGUUUCGGCGGUUGGGGAUGGACUCGCGGCUUAUCAGCUUGUUGGUGGGGUAGUGGCUUACCAAGGCUUUGACGGGUAGCCGGCCUGAGAGGGUGACCGGCCACAUUGGGACUGAGAUACGGCCCAGACUCCUACGGGAGGCAGCAGUGGGGAAUAUUGCACAAUGGGCGGAAGCCUGAUGCAGCAACGCCGCGUGCGGGAUGACGGCCUUCGGGUUGUAAACCGCUUUCGCCUGUGACGAAGCGUGAGUGACGGUAAUGGGUAAAGAAGCACCGGCUAACUACGUG
Molecule: ribosomal RNA, 468 nt
Filed under: uncultured bacterium
Lineage: Bacteria
Description: partial 16S ribosomal RNA
Rfam family: Bacterial small subunit ribosomal RNA
Source: RNAcentral